UGGGGUGUGGCUCAAUGGUGGAGUGCUUGCCAGGCAUGUGUGAGGCCCUGGGUUCAAUUCUCAGCACUGCAU
Molecule: transfer RNA, 72 nt
Filed under: Marmota marmota marmota (Alpine marmot)
Lineage: Eukaryota; Metazoa; Chordata; Mammalia; Rodentia; Sciuridae
Also listed under: 2 other names
Rfam family: tRNA
About the family: Transfer RNA (tRNA) molecules are approximately 80 nucleotides in length.
Source: Rfam by way of RNAcentral